This 86-nucleotide transfer RNA is filed under the name Schistocephalus solidus. It matches the Rfam family "tRNA". Rfam says of the family: Transfer RNA (tRNA) molecules are approximately 80 nucleotides in length. Their secondary structure includes four short double-helical elements and three loops (D, anti-codon, and T loops). Lineage: Eukaryota; Metazoa; Platyhelminthes; Cestoda; Diphyllobothriidea; Diphyllobothriidae. The record is from Rfam by way of RNAcentral.
GGCCUCGUAACUCAAGUGGUUAGAGCCUUGGCUGUAAAAAAAGCCUUUCCCGUCUGCUGUCGUGGGUUCGAAUCUCACUGAGGCCG